UCUAAAUGCUAAUACAACCGCUAUGUCACUAAUCAGUAUAAGUAAAAAAAAGGUAAUGUUUUAAUUAGAGUUAAAAUAUUAAACGCUACCUUAAAAAGUUAUUGCCGAAUAGGGCUUUGAUACAAAGAUGUGAGAUGAAUAUAUUUAAUAGGCAUAUCUCACCAUCUUCUAUCUUGAAUCCAUAAUAAACAGGCAAGAAAAAUACCGAUUAAAAAAAUAAAAGCAAAAACAAAAAUAAACCUAAUCAGGCGUGGUUUCCCUUGUUGAUGGAGCACUAAAAACUCUGUUGGACAUGCUGGACUCCAAAACUUGAUUCAUUAGUGCUGGGUAGAGAGAGACAGUUUUCUCCCAAUUGGGUUCUCCUUCUUGAGGCGCUCGACCUUCAUUGGCCUUUCAUCAAGUGGUUUUUCUUUGUCCUAUCCAGGAAGGGGGACUUCUCUUCCCUUCCUUAUCCAGAAAAGUGGGUUGCCCUCUUCCCUUGCUAGUGGGAUUUGUGUAUAAAUAAUAGUGAUUUUGGUUUUUGCUAUACAUCUGAGCUAAUUGGAGAGGUUUUAGAUUUACCUCGUGUUUGCUGGUUUGGUUUAUUUUUGGGUGUUGCAUGCAAGGAAAGGGCCUCUUAGUGAGAACGCUUUCGCUGUUUGGAGCCAAGAUCGACGGGUUCAGAAGUUUAAAUGGGUGUGGUACCUCUCAGAAACGCUUUCCAGUGUCCCUCUUACAACACUCAGUCUCUAAAUGGCCAUCAAACCUAAGAGAGCUCUACCUCGCUGCUCGUUAGUGUCCCUUGGUUCAGAUCUUGCUUCAACCAUGGUUGUGUUUUUUGAUGCUCUUGAGAUCUUUCUUAGCAGCUCAACCUCCUGGAGAAGUUCUAUAUAAGGAAUCAUCUUUUAUGUUAACCUUGUUAGUCGAUUCCUGGUGCUUCAUCUAUCUACUUGUCUCUCAAGGAUGACCUAUCUGGUUUUGAUUCUUGGAGGAGGGACAUUGUUUCUACUGACUACUGAGCCCUUCCUCCCAUGUGGCUCGGAUUUGGAGUUAGGGUUCUAUUGGGUUUGAACUCGGUAUCCAGCCUUGCUAAUUUGGGUUGGAUUGUAUUUUACGACCCCAUUUUUUGUUGGCCUGGUUUUAGCUAUGGAUUUGCAUUUUUUGAGCUUUAUUUAUUUAUAGUGAUCUGUCUCUCUUUGUAUUGGCCACUGACCUUUUAUAUCUACAAUAUAUAUUUUAUCUUAAAAAAAAAAUAACCAAGAAAAUGUACAUAAUAUAGAAAAUAAUAAUAUAAUGCAAAGGCAUUGGAUACGCAUCACCUUGGUUCUAAAG
This 1311-nucleotide unclassified non-coding RNA is filed under the name Hevea brasiliensis (rubber tree). Lineage: Eukaryota; Viridiplantae; Streptophyta; Magnoliopsida; Malpighiales; Euphorbiaceae. The record is from RNAcentral.